Mytilus californianus (California mussel) is the source of this 324-nucleotide long non-coding RNA. RefSeq lists it as uncharacterized. NCBI's taxonomy places the organism in Eukaryota, Metazoa, Mollusca, Bivalvia, Mytilida, Mytilidae. The record is from RefSeq and is a predicted model, not a curated record. The transcript has 4 exons.
AGUGUGCUGUUAGCUUAUUUAAAGAUUAAAAGUCUUUUCGGAAACACUCUCAUUUGCUGUUUUAGAAAGAACGUGGUACUUGAACAAGAAGAAAGCUGCGGCCAUUUUAACAAAUUUGGUAGUUUUACAUUUUAAAAGUUUGAAGAUAUAAUAAUACUAUGCGCUGAUGUAGUUGAAGGCUAGGGCAAGUCAUACCUAUUGAUUGAAGAUAGUUUACUGUGAACUCAUGUGAUCAAAGGUCCAGUUAAUUUAAUACUACAUGUAUUGUACGAAGAUUUAUAACCAAGUACUGAUGUAAUUAAAGGUCCAUUCAAUUUAUAUUGU